GGCUCCUUGCUUGCAAGGGGUACUCGAGUGGCGAACGGGUGAGUAACACGUGGGUGAUCUGCCUUGCACUUCGGGAUAAGCCUGGGAAACUGGGUCUAAUACCGGAUAGGACCAUGCUUUAGUGUGUGUGGUGGAAAGUUUUUCGGUGCAAGAUGAGCCCGCGGCCUAUCAGCUUGUUGGUGGGGUAAUGGCCUACCAAGGCGACGACGGGUAGCCGGCCUGAGAGGGUGUACGGCCACAUUGGGACUGAGACACGGCCCAGACUCCUACGGGAGGCAGCAGUGGGGAAUAUUGCACAAUGGGCGCAAGCCUGAUGCAGCGACGCCGCGUGGGGGAUGACGGCCUUCGGGUUGUAAACUCCUUUCGCUAGGGAAGAAGCCACUUUGUGGUGACGGUACCUGGAUAAGAAGCACCGGCUAACUACGUGCCAGCAGCCGCGGUAAUACGUAGGGUGCGAGCGUUGUCCGGAAUUACUGGGCGUAAAGAGCUCGUAGGUGGUUUGUCGCGUCGUCUGUGAAAUCCCGGGGCUUAACUUCGGGCGUGCAGGCGAUACGGGCAUAACUAGAGUGCUGUAGGGGAGACUGGAAUUCCUGGUGUAGCGGUGAAAUGCGCAGAUAUCAGGAGGAACACCGAUGGCGAAGGCAGGUCUCUGGGCAGUUACUGACGCUGAGGAGCGAAAGCAUGGGUAGCGAACAGGAU
RNAcentral lists this ribosomal RNA (699 nucleotides) under Corynebacterium jeikeium. Its description in RNAcentral is "bacterial SSU rRNA". It matches the Rfam family "Bacterial small subunit ribosomal RNA", at positions 70 to 778 of the family's 1533-position model. The record is from RNAcentral. Lineage: Bacteria; Bacillati; Actinomycetota; Actinomycetes; Mycobacteriales; Corynebacteriaceae.